This 692-nucleotide ribosomal RNA is filed under the name Pantoea sp. RNAcentral's name for it is "bacterial SSU rRNA". It matches the Rfam family "Bacterial small subunit ribosomal RNA", at positions 796 to 1487 of the family's 1533-position model. Lineage: Bacteria; Pseudomonadati; Pseudomonadota; Gammaproteobacteria; Enterobacterales; Erwiniaceae. The record is from RNAcentral.
CACGCCGUAAACGAUGUCGACUUGGAGGUUGUUCCCUUGAGGAGUGGCUUCCGGAGCUAACGCGUUAAGUCGACCGCCUGGGGAGUACGGCCGCAAGGUUAAAACUCAAAUGAAUUGACGGGGGCCCGCACAAGCGGUGGAGCAUGUGGUUUAAUUCGAUGCAACGCGAAGAACCUUACCUACUCUUGACAUCCAGAGAACUUNGCAGAGAUGCUUUGGUGCCUUCGGGAACUCUGAGACAGGUGCUGCAUGGCUGUCGUCAGCUCGUGUUGUGAAAUGUUGGGUUAAGUCCCGCAACGAGCGCAACCCUUAUCCUUUGUUGCCAGCGCGUGAUGGCGGGAACUCAAAGGAGACUGCCGGUGAUAAACCGGAGGAAGGUGGGGAUGACGUCAAGUCAUCAUGGCCCUUACGAGUAGGGCUACACACGUGCUACAAUGGCGCAUACAAAGAGAAGCGACCUCGCGAGAGCAAGCGGACCUCACAAAGUGCGUCGUAGUCCGGAUCGGAGUCUGCAACUCGACUCCGUGAAGUCGGAAUCGCUAGUAAUCGUGGAUCAGAAUGCCACGGUGAAUACGUUCCCGGGCCUUGUACACACCGCCCGUCACACCAUGGGAGUGGGUUGCAAAAGAAGUAGGUAGCUUAACCUUCGGGAGGGCGCUUACCACUUUGUGAUUCAUGACUGGGGUGAAGUC